UACGGAGGGUGCAAACGUUGCUCGGAAUUAUUGGGCGUAAAGCGCACGUAGGCGGUUCGCUAUGUCGGAUGUGAAAGCCCCGGGCUUAACCCGGGAAGGGCAUCCGAAACUGGCGGGCUUGAGUACGGAAGAGGGUCUCGGAAUUCCCGGUGUAGAGGUGAAAUUCGUAGAUAUCGGAAGGAACACCUGUGGCGAAAGCGGCUCACUGGACCAUUACUGACGCUGAGGCACGAAAGCUAGGGGAGCAAACAGG
RNAcentral lists this ribosomal RNA (253 nucleotides) under uncultured bacterium. Its description in RNAcentral is "partial 16S ribosomal RNA". It matches the Rfam family "Bacterial small subunit ribosomal RNA", at positions 524 to 776 of the family's 1533-position model. The record is from RNAcentral.